CUCUCUGAGAGUGUUACUGUGCUUAAUAAGUCUCUUGCUGCUUUGCUACAUGUGUGUGUGUCACUUCCAAUUCUUUGUUAAAGACACCAAGAACCUGGGACUUCACAACACCAGCCGGUAACAAAGGAGAAGAUAGUCAUUGGACAAAAGUCCACAGGUCGAGAGGAACCAUACUUGAAGAAACAUACCUGAAGGGUUUCAUCCAUAUGUGGGCCUGAUUUGGAUGAUAAAAUCCUGCAUCUUGAGCCUGAUCUUGAUGCUGCCUGUGUUCUGAUGCCAUCAGGAGUUGAGAGUCUAGGGGUUUUAGAAAGGGUGAAUGUAUUUUCCCAUAGGCAAGGAACAUAAUCAAUGGCCAAAAUGUGCACUGUGACAGAUUAAAGGUUGCUACAAAUUCUCUGAUACCCUUCCAUUAAGAGGUAGGGCAGAUAUUCCCUCCCCUCAAAUCUGGGUGGGCUCCAUGACUUGCUUUGAUCAACAGAAAACGGCAGCAGUGAUGCUGGGCCAGUUGUUGGAUCCAGGCCUUAAGAACCAACAACUUCCACUUAAGUUCUCUUGGAACACUGAGUCCCUGACUACCCUAAUAUCAUGUUGGAAAGGCUACAUGUAGGCACUCUAGUUGCCAGUCCCAGCCAAGACCAGCUUUUCAGCCAUCCCCAUCACUAAAUUUGUAAAUGAAGCCAUCUGGAAUCUCCAGACCAGCUCAUUUGGCAGCUGGGUAUCAUCAAGUUAUCUCUGCUGACUCCACAUGGAACAAAGGAAUCACCCAGCUGAGCCCUAUUCAAACUAUUGACCAAAAAAAUAGUGAGACAUAAUAAAAUGAUGUUUUAAGCCAGU
RNAcentral lists this long non-coding RNA (834 nucleotides) under Homo sapiens (human). Its description in RNAcentral is "long intergenic non-protein coding RNA 2805". The record is from RNAcentral. Lineage: Eukaryota; Metazoa; Chordata; Mammalia; Primates; Hominidae.